Molecule: long non-coding RNA, 1101 nt
Filed under: Lonchura striata (white-rumped munia)
Lineage: Eukaryota; Metazoa; Chordata; Aves; Passeriformes; Estrildidae
Description: domestica (Bengalese finch) lncRNA (ENSLSDG00000006064.1)
Source: RNAcentral
GCUCAGUCGCUCCCGCCUCAUCACGAAGCGCGGACCGCCUCGCUGCCGCCAUGCGACCACUCAGCGCUGCGAUCCCGCCCGCCUCCAUUUUCUCUGGGCUCCUGCGCCACCGCCCCCGCCGCUCUCGGCCCGCCCUUGCCCGCGGGCUGGCAGGGCUGGGAGGUGCCCGGCAGAGGGACCCCGGCUGGCGAGGCGCAGAGCCUUCUCCGCCGUGAGGGGCAUCUCGGACAUCUUCACGCGUGUUCGCCUCCAGGUGUGUUCGCUUGGAGGGCCGUGCGUGGAAACACAAACCGGGAGAGUUCGCGGCUCUCCUCCCUUGUUAUCACGAGGUUUUUUUUUAAAACCUUGGGCUCUCUGAGGGGCGCGGUGGGCGCAGGGCUUCGCCUGCCCGCAAGCCCCUCUGGAGGUUCUAGCGCUUGUGCCGCUCCUGGUCCCGUGUGACGCGCAGGGGCGGCGGCUGUGUAAGAUGGCGAGGCUGCCUGGCGGUGUGCAGGGACCGCCCGCUCCCCCCUCGGGGCUCCUGCCCCCGGAGCUAGCAGAAACUCCCCACACUGCGAGCAUCCGCCGCCUGCCGCUCUGUCCUUUCCCUGACGAGUAACUGAGCACCUAACAUUCCCGGCCUCCGGAGUGUAUUCCAAAGACAAGGCUGCUGACACCAUGCUAACCCUUUUAAGAAGCUCAUACCGAUUGUUUAAAAAUACUUGCGUUGCACCCGUGUCACGAUUACACGGUAAGCUUGUCCGUAGCUGAGGGAGAAGCCCGGCGCCUCCUGCCCGCAUGGAAAGGGUGCCGAGAGGAAUCUCCCACCUGGGCACCCCGCGGGCCGGCGCUGUCCACGCCCCCGCCUCGGCCGAACUGCGGGACCACCCCAUCAAAAAGCGCUUCCUGCCAAAACCGCCUCUCCUGGGAGCGGCUGGAAGAAGUAUGAAGGGACUAUGUGGCAAGGCAGAGGUAGGAAGAGAGAAGAGGGACACAGAAGGAGGAAACAGACUUCUUCUCCAAAUUUGCCAAGUCCACACCUGCGGGAUCUCGGAGAACUGGCUCACUUCCUAUAUUCCUCUUGUCUCUCUGUUUCUGACACAAGCGAAAUCCCACUUCUGA